UUUAAUUUUUAUUUAAAAGUGACGGGCGAUAUGUGCAUGCUUAAUUUCUUUUUCAAAAUAUAAUUUUCUUUGUAAUUUUUACUUAUAAAUCCUCAUUUUCUCUGAUUUCUGAGCUGAUCUUUAAUUUUCUUGUUGCGUUCCACUUCUUCUAUUUAAUUUUCUUUGUCUUGAUUUGUUGUGAUUUCUUUAUUAGAUUUGAGAGAAAAAUUUUUUAUUCUCUUUCAAACAAUGAUAUAAAAAAUAUUUUAAAUAGUCCAUUUAAUAGUGGGUUGUCUAUUAGGUUGCAGAACUCUCUAUUAAGUUUAGGCACCGCCAUAUCAUUUAGAUUUUUCUUCUUACAGGUACUCUCUUUUUUAAUUUUAAAA
This 365-nucleotide ribosomal RNA is filed under the name Diptilomiopus panithus. Its description in RNAcentral is "partial 12S ribosomal RNA". Lineage: Eukaryota; Metazoa; Arthropoda; Arachnida; Trombidiformes; Diptilomiopidae. The record is from RNAcentral.